Non-coding RNA from Sulfitobacter sp. EhC04, 69 nucleotides. The record is from Rfam. Lineage: Bacteria; Pseudomonadati; Pseudomonadota; Alphaproteobacteria; Rhodobacterales; Roseobacteraceae.
GGGGACCUUCGGGGCCCUUCAAACCAUAGCCGCCCGUCGGGCGGCACACAGCUAAACGGAAGACAGACA